This 1328-nucleotide long non-coding RNA is filed under the name Parus major (Great Tit). RNAcentral describes it as "lncRNA (ENSPMJG00000019302.1)". The record is from RNAcentral. Lineage: Eukaryota; Metazoa; Chordata; Aves; Passeriformes; Paridae.
UGUUAUCAUAGUUGUAAUUGCAAUUUAUUUUUUUUUCACAAGGAGAGAUAUUAAAAGAAUGACAUUUUUCAAUUUCAUACAUUAUUUAGCUUUUCUGAAAUGGGACUCUUGGUGUUCUUAAAAUAUAGAGGAUUUACAUAGCUGUGUGAUUAAUUCUAAGAUGGUAGAAAACUGCUGUUGAUCCUUUCUUUACAGAGAUGCAAAAAUAAUUCAGGUUUUAAAAUCAGGCUGUCUUCUCACUAAUGAAUAUAUUAUGUGCAUGAAACACAUGCAGCAACUGUCUAACACCAUUUACUUGUUUGAAUUUGUCCUAUCAGCUAACCUUGUUUAGUAUGGGCAUUUUUCAUAAAUACGAUGGCUUUUUUUUGUCCUUCACUAUGUGGCUGUUUUUUUCUAUAGUUGAAAAAAAAGCCUGUGUUUAUGCUUGAUCUUUUCUAUGAAUUUCCUGUUUUCUUAGAGUUCACAAGAAGCAAACCAGAAAAAUAUAGGAAGGCAAUUUCUAUGAAUGACAGAUGACAUUAGUAUGAAAUGUCUAGUUUUUCUUAUAUCUGUCUGCUUUUUCCCUUUUAGAGAUGCAAUAAAGUGGGGCUUAAAUGCAUCCUACACAUUGAGAGCCCUGUAUAUAUCAGUAUUGCUGAAGCCACACAGGACCUCCUGCAACCCACAGCUUUUCUGUGUUUCCCCAUUGCACUGUGUGCCUGAAGCAGGUCAGUGUCUGAGCAGUACAGAAGGAAAAUAAAUAAUGUGGUUCUCCAACAGACUUCUGCCACUCAACUUUUCUGCCUUUCAUUUUAUGUUAUAAAGAACCUACAAAAUGUGCAGGAUAGAGAACUUACAAAGAAAACCCUGGUGGGCUGAAGUCUUGUUCUUUGUUCCUCAGCCCUCAGAGAUUUCCUGCUCAAGAGCAUUUGCAGUUAGAUUUAAGACCCCCUAAAACAAAAUGAUAAGCUAUGUAGGUUCAUUGAUUGCAAAGCUAAUGCAAUAUUUGUUUGGUGCUUGCACAAAGAUAUUUUUGUAGUUGCUUAGUCUGUAGAGAUUCAAGAUCCUGACUGAGACAUUGUUCAAUUCUGGUAAAUAGUUGACAAAUUAUUAAAGUGAGGCCGCAGAUUAAAUCUAACAAGAUAAAAAUGCAGUGAAUGUGUUGCUGCAUUUGGACAUCCUGGGUAGUUGUUGCAUUUUUUUCUUUUCUUCCCCCACUGUUUCUAAACAUUCUUUGUCCAUUUUAUGAUUUGUAUAUUUGUCAUAAUUUAGAUAAGGAUAAAUUCCUCUUAGUUAGGGUAAUAGCUGAUAACAUGUAUUAAUUAAUUCUGGUAUAAAUUGUUUUUUAU